Molecule: long non-coding RNA, 1010 nt
Organism: Anthonomus grandis grandis
Lineage: Eukaryota; Metazoa; Arthropoda; Insecta; Coleoptera; Curculionidae
Exons: 4
Source: RefSeq, a predicted model, not a curated record
GAUAUUUAAAAAAUAUAUAAGAUUAGGAACAAUUCUUCGAUAUUUUUACUCAAAAAUUUGUAUGGUGCAGUAGGACCGUAAAGGAUCUUAUUAUGCACGCGCACGCCGGACGUUGCCGUUCGAUUACCCGACGAUAAUUAGAAACGCAACGCAACUUCGAGCGGAAUGCGGAAUGCCUGCACGUCACUAUCAUAAGUGUCAUAUCAUGUCACUACGUCAGGAAGAAAGAUUGGUUAUGUUUCUGGAAUUUACCGAAUUAUUGUGGCUGGUGUUUUUUUCCUACUUCCUACUUGUAAGUUGUGAUAAAAGUGAUUUGUGAUAAACUAGUAUUUAGCAUAAUUUAGCAGGAUUUAGAAGAAGAAAUUGAUCUUGCGGAUCAUGCCGCCUGCGUCUAAACAAAAAAGUGGAUGUUGGAUGUAUUUCAACAAGGUAAAUACAUCGUCUGUAUCUUGCAAAAAAUGUUUGAAGGUCAUAAAAACAGCUGGAAAUACAUCGAAUAUGCUUAAACAUUUAAAGGUACAUGGAAUCAAUAUUAAAGAUACAAAAUCUGCAAAAGGAAGAGGUGUUGAUUGCCAAGUAAGCACAUUAUCUCAAGUUCCUUCAAACGGUACUGCCGAGAAUGAGGAACAAAAUAACACCAAUGACUUUUAUAGCAAUUCACAACCUUCCACAAGUAGUGAACAAAGUUCAGAGCUAUGCCGUGGACCAAGGCCACCAUCAAGCUUUUCUGAUACCAGUAGUGUAACUGAACAUCCGAUUUUAAAAUCUUUUCGAUCUGUUUCUUCUUAUAGUGAAGGAGGUUCUCGCCAUAGUGAAAUAACAAAUGCAAUCAUGUUCUUUAUAUGUGCAGACAACAGACCUUUUUAUGCCAUUGAAGGAAGGGGAUUUAAAAAGCUAAUGAAGAAUAUAGCGCCUUUAUAUAAGGUUCCAAGUAGAGAGUAUAUUAAAGCUAAAAUUGAUUCUAAAUAUGAAGUAAUGUUUUCAGUGUACAAAGAAAGAAUGAGGUCAGU